AAAAAACAAAAACAAAACAAGAAAUUACCAAUAAAAUAAAACAGGCAACAAAUGCCCGUUAAUGUUGAUAAAUUAAAUACCAAAUUAAACAGAGAAGAGAAUAAAGAAAUUGAUGUGAUGUGAUACAAAAGACAAUUUGACGCGUUGUUCUUUUCGUUUUGAUUCAGUUCCUUCCUCCCUUCAUCCCGCAAAUUGGAGGCAACAGAAAAGUCGUGUUAACAUUUUCUAUGAGAAAGGCAAACAACAA
Drosophila grimshawi is the source of this 247-nucleotide long non-coding RNA. RefSeq lists it as uncharacterized. The transcript has 2 exons. The record is from RefSeq and is a predicted model, not a curated record. NCBI's taxonomy places the organism in Eukaryota, Metazoa, Arthropoda, Insecta, Diptera, Drosophilidae.